This 651-nucleotide ribosomal RNA is filed under the name Salegentibacter sediminis. Its description in RNAcentral is "16S ribosomal RNA". It matches the Rfam family "Bacterial small subunit ribosomal RNA", at positions 77 to 726 of the family's 1533-position model. Lineage: Bacteria; Pseudomonadati; Bacteroidota; Flavobacteriia; Flavobacteriales; Flavobacteriaceae. The record is from RNAcentral.
CUUGCAAUCUGGUGGCGACCGGCGCACGGGUGCGUAACGCGUAUACAACCUACCUUUUGGAGGGGAAUAGCCCAGAGAAAUUUGGAUUAAUACCCCAUAGUAUAUAGGAAUCUCCUGAUUUUUAUAUUAAACAUUUAUGGCCAUUAGAUGGGUAUGCGUCCUAUUAGCUAGUUGGUGUGGUAACGGCACACCAAGGCUACGAUAGGUAGGGGUCCUGAGAGGGAGAUCCCCCACACUGGUACUGAGACACGGACCAGACUCCUACGGGAGGCAGCAGUGAGGAAUAUUGGACAAUGGGCGAGAGCCUGAUCCAGCCAUGCCGCGUGCAGGAAGACUGCCCUAUGGGUUGUAAACUGCUUUUACAGAGGAAGAACCACCCCCACGUGUGGGGGUUUGACGGUACUCUGCGAAUAAGGAUCGGCUAACUCCGUGCCAGCAGCCGCGGUAAUACGGAGGAUCCAAGCGUUAUCCGGAAUCAUUGGGUUUAAAGGGUCCGUAGGCGGAUAAAUAAGUCAGUGGUGAAAGUCUGCAGCUCAACUGUAGAAUUGCCAUUGAUACUGUUUAUCUUGAGUUAUUAUGAAGUGGUUAGAAUGAGUAGUGUAGCGGUGAAAUGCAUAGAUAUUACUCAGAAUACCGAUUGCGAAGGCAGAU